Sinocyclocheilus anshuiensis is the source of this 263-nucleotide long non-coding RNA. RefSeq lists it as uncharacterized. The record is from RefSeq and is a predicted model, not a curated record. The transcript has 3 exons. Lineage: Eukaryota; Metazoa; Chordata; Actinopteri; Cypriniformes; Cyprinidae.
UGACGUGAUUGUAGCUGCUAGCAAUUACCACAGGGGCGAGGACCAUAAACUCACCAAUGACGAGUUCUACCUGGCUGAGGUCGCCUUCACUGUGCUGUUUGAUUUGGAAGCCCUGCUGAAAAUCUGGUGUUUGGGCUUCACUGGCUACAUCAGUUCCUCUCUACACAAGUUUGAGUGUCUGCUUGUAUUGGGCACCACCCUGCACAUCUACCCUGAUCUCUACCACUCGCAGUUCACCUACUUCCAGGCAGCUGCAGGGAAUG